CCUACGGGAGGCAGCAGUGGGGAAUAUUGCGCAAUGGGCGAAAGCCUGACGCAGCGACGUCGCGUGAGGGAUGAAGGUCUUCGGAGCGUAAACCUCUGUCAGCAGGGAAGUACGGUCACUGUGGUAUUCAGCAGUGAAUUGACGGUAUCUGCAAAGGAAGCACAGGCUAACGCCGUGCCAGCAGCCGCGGUAAUACUUAGGGUGCGUGCGUGAAUCGGAAUUACUGGGCGUAAAGCGAUCGGAGGCGGUAUGUCAAGUCAAGGGUGAAAUCGCCGGGCUCAACGGUGGAAGUGCCUUUGAUACUGGCAACCUUGAGUGUGUGAGAGGAUAGUGGAAUUCGAGGUGUAGGAGUGAAAUGCUUAGAUAUCUGGAGGAACAUCAGUGGCGAAGGCGACUAUCUGGCACAUAACUGACGCUGAGGAGCGAAAGCGUGGGUAGCAAACAGGAUUAGAUACCCGGGUAGUC
This 465-nucleotide ribosomal RNA is filed under the name uncultured bacterium. Its description in RNAcentral is "partial 16S ribosomal RNA". It matches the Rfam family "Bacterial small subunit ribosomal RNA", at positions 338 to 795 of the family's 1533-position model. The record is from RNAcentral.